AUUGAACGCUGGCGGCAUGCCUUACACAUGCAAGUCGAACGGCAGCGCGGGAGCAAUCCUGGCGGCGAGUGGCGAACGGGUGAGUAAUACAUCGGAACGUGCCCAAUCGUGGGGGAUAACGCAGCGAAAGCUGUGCUAAUACCGCAUACGAUCUACGGAUGAAAGCAGGGGAUCGCAAGACCUUGCGCGCAUUGAGCGGCCGAUGGCAGAUUAGGUAGUUGGUGAGGUAAAGGCUCACCAAGCCUUCGAUCUGUAGCUGGUCUGAGAGGACGACCAGCCACACUGGGACUGAGACACGGCCCAGACUCCUACGGGAGGCAGCAGUGGGGAAGUUUGGACAAUGGGCGAAAGCCUGAUCCAGCCAUGCAGCGUGCAGGAUGAAGGCCUUCGGGUUGUAAGCUGCUUUUGUACGGAACGAAACGGUCUUUUCUAAUAAAGAAGGCUACUGACGGUACCGUAAGAAUAAGCACCGGCUAGCUACGUG
RNAcentral lists this ribosomal RNA (484 nucleotides) under uncultured bacterium. Its description in RNAcentral is "partial 16S ribosomal RNA". It matches the Rfam family "Bacterial small subunit ribosomal RNA", at positions 30 to 507 of the family's 1533-position model. The record is from RNAcentral.